This 397-nucleotide ribosomal RNA is filed under the name uncultured bacterium. RNAcentral describes it as "bacterial SSU rRNA". It matches the Rfam family "Bacterial small subunit ribosomal RNA", at positions 362 to 776 of the family's 1533-position model. The record is from RNAcentral.
UAUUGGACAAUGGGGGAAACCCUGAUCCAGCGACGCCGCGUGAGUGAAGAAGUAUUUCGGUAUGUAAAGCUCUAUCAGCAGGGAAGAUAAUGACAGUACCUGACUAAGAAGCACCGGCUAAAUACGUGCCAGCAGCCGCGGUAAUACGUAUGGUGAAAGCGUUAUCCGGAUUUACUGGGUGUAAAGGGAGCGUAGGCGGUCUGCCAAGUCUGAUGUGAAAACCCGGGGCUCAACCCCGGGAGUGCAUUGGAAACUGGCGGACUGGAGUGUCGGAGAGGUAAGCGGAAUUCCUAGUGUAGCGGUGAAAUGCGUAGAUAUUAGGAGGAACACCAGUUGCGAAGGCGGCUCUCUGGACUGUAACUGACACUGAGGCACGAAAGCGUGGGGAGCAAACAGG